This 253-nucleotide ribosomal RNA is filed under the name uncultured bacterium. RNAcentral describes it as "partial 16S ribosomal RNA". It matches the Rfam family "Bacterial small subunit ribosomal RNA", at positions 524 to 776 of the family's 1533-position model. The record is from RNAcentral.
UACGUAGGGGGCAAGCGUUGUCCGGAAUCAUUGGGCGUAAAGCGCGUGUAGGCGGUUCGAUAAGUCUGCUGUGAAAGUCCAGGGCUCAACCCUGGGAUGCCGGUGGAUACUGUCGGACUAGAGUGCGGAGGAGGCGAGUGGAAUUCCCGGUGUAGCGGUGAAAUGCGCAGAUAUCGGGAGGAACACCAAUUGCGAAGGCAGCUCGCUGGGACGUUACUGACGCUGAGACGCGAAAGCGUGGGGAGCAAACAGG